This 443-nucleotide ribosomal RNA is filed under the name uncultured bacterium. RNAcentral's name for it is "partial 16S ribosomal RNA". It matches the Rfam family "Bacterial small subunit ribosomal RNA", at positions 338 to 795 of the family's 1533-position model. The record is from RNAcentral.
CCUACGGGAGGCAGCAGUGGGGGAUAUUGGACAAUGGGGGGAACCCUGAUCCAGCGACGCCGCGUGAGUGAAGAAGUAUUUCGGUAUGUAAAGCUCUGUCAGCAGGGAAGAAAGAAAUGACGGUACCUGACCAAGAAGCCCCGGCUAACUACGUGCCAGCAGCCGCGGAAAUACGUAGGGGGCAAGCGUUAUCCGGAAUUACUGGGUGUAAAGGGAGCGUAGACGGUUAAGUAAGUCUGGAGUGAAAGGCCGGGGCCCAACCCCGGGACUGCUCUGGAAACUAUUGAACUUGAGUGCAGGAGAGGUAAGCGGAAUUCCUAGUGUAGCGGUGAAAUGCGUAGAUAUUAGGAGGAACACCAGUGGCGAAGGCGGCUUACUGGACUGUAACUGACGUUGAGGCUCGAAAGCGUGGGGAGCAAACAGGAUUAGAUACCCGUGUAGUC